Molecule: long non-coding RNA, 161 nt
Organism: Oreochromis niloticus (Nile tilapia)
Lineage: Eukaryota; Metazoa; Chordata; Actinopteri; Cichliformes; Cichlidae
Exons: 2
Source: RefSeq, a predicted model, not a curated record
CAAUAUUAACUCAUUACGGUUACAUUUUCGAGUUUAAAAGUUCUCCGAAAUUACAAUGAAAAAGGAAACAAGAAAAAUUACCACUCCAGCCGAUAAGAAAGAUUCAGGAGAUCAAGAUUGUAAGAGCAGGACUGCUAAAAGAAAGGCCAGUCUGAAAAGAA